UACGUAGGGUGCGAGCGUUGUCCGGAAUUAUUGGGCGUAAAGCGCGCGUAGGCGGCUUGGCAAGUCGGAUGUGAAAUCCCUCGGCUCAACCAAGGAAGUGCAUCCGAAACUGCUGAGCUUGAGUACUUAAGAGGAUCGCGGAAUUCCCGGUGUAGAGGUGAAAUUCGUAGAUAUCGGGAGGAACACCAGUGGCGAAGGCGGCGAUCUGGGAAGAUACUGACGCUGAGGUGCGAAAGCGUGGGGAGCAAUCCGG
RNAcentral lists this ribosomal RNA (253 nucleotides) under uncultured bacterium. RNAcentral's name for it is "partial 16S ribosomal RNA". It matches the Rfam family "Bacterial small subunit ribosomal RNA", at positions 524 to 776 of the family's 1533-position model. The record is from RNAcentral.